CAUACGGGUGGCAGCAGUGGGGAAUAUUGGACAAUGGGCGAAAGCCUGAUCCAGCCAUGCCGCGUGUGUGAAGAAGGCCUUCGGGUUGUAAAGCACUUUCAGUGGGGAAGAAAGCCUUGGGGCUAAUACCCUCGAGGAAGGACAUCACCCACAGAAGAAGCACCGGCUAACUCCGUGCCAGCAGCCGCGGUAAUACGGAGGGUGCGAGCGUUAAUCGGAAUUACUGGGCGUAAAGCGCGCGUAGGCGGUCUGAUAAGCCGGUUGUGAAAGCCCCGGGCUCAACCUGGGAACGGCAUCCGGAACUGUCAGGCUAGAGUGCAGGAGAGGAAGGUAGAAUUCCCGGUGUAGCGGUGAAAUGCGUAGAGAUCGGGAGGAAUACCAGUGGCGAAGGCGGCCUUCUGGACUGACACUGACGCUGAGGUGCGAAAGCGUGGGUAGCAAACAGGAUUAGAUACCCCGGUAGUC
This 465-nucleotide ribosomal RNA is filed under the name Vreelandella stevensii. RNAcentral's name for it is "partial 16S ribosomal RNA". It matches the Rfam family "Bacterial small subunit ribosomal RNA", at positions 338 to 795 of the family's 1533-position model. The record is from RNAcentral. Lineage: Bacteria; Pseudomonadati; Pseudomonadota; Gammaproteobacteria; Oceanospirillales; Halomonadaceae.